GCACUGCUGAUGAGUCCCAUAAUAGGACGAAACGGCCGUCCAGUGC
This is a non-coding RNA of Schistosoma mattheei, 46 nucleotides long. The record is from Rfam. NCBI's taxonomy places the organism in Eukaryota, Metazoa, Platyhelminthes, Trematoda, Strigeidida, Schistosomatidae.